This 2442-nucleotide ribosomal RNA is filed under the name Triticum aestivum (bread wheat). Its description in RNAcentral is "partial small subunit ribosomal RNA". The record is from RNAcentral. Lineage: Eukaryota; Viridiplantae; Streptophyta; Magnoliopsida; Poales; Poaceae.
AUGUGUAUACUGUGCGCCGUGCAACGGUGGUCGCGGCGCGUCGCCACCAUGCUGCCGUGGCUCGUCCUCCCCCUCAUCCUCCUCUGGGCGCUCUCCCAGCUCCUGCCCACAGCCUACCGCUUCGAGGUCACCUCUCCGCGCCUCGCCUGUGUCUCCGUCCUGCUCCUCACCCUCUUCUGGUACGAAAUUCUUCUCCCACGCCUCUCCCUCUGGCGCGCACGCCGCUCCGCGCGCCUUCGCGAGGAGCGCCGUGCCCACGCUCUGGAGCUACAGAAGCUACGCAAGACAGCCACACGCCGCUGCCGCAACUGCAACAACCCAUAUAGGGACCAGAACCCUGGAGGCGGCAAGUUCAUGUGCUCUUACUGUGGCCACGUAUCCAAGCGGCCUGUGCUUGAUCUUGGCCCUGCAGGGAAGGUCCCAACUGGUUGGCCUUGCAGUCAGGAUUGGGCCAAUGCUGUAGGUGACCCAGGUUACUGGCUUGACCUGCGCUGCUCCGCCGACAAUUCAUACUCAGGGUUCUCAUGGCGGCUGUUCUCGACCUUCUAUGUGAGCGUGGCAUGGUUCUGGAAGAAAGUGUUCAGGUUUGGGUCAUCAGGGGACGGUAGUGGCUUGGGCCGGGAUGGCAAAAUGUUGACAAAAGGAGAUAAUGCAGGGAAGGCUGAGGAGAGCAGAGUGGACAAGGCAAAAAGGAAGGCUGAAGAGAAGAGGUUGGCGAGGUUAGAGAAGGAAAUGCUGGAGGAGGAGGAAAAGAAGCAGCGGGAAGAGAUGGCAAAACUAGUAGAGGAGCGUAGAAGGCUGAGGGAUGAGAAAGCAGAGGCUGAGGAACGAUCCAAAGGCGCUACCCCUGUCGGGGAGAAGGAUGCUAGGAAGGAAGCAGAACGAAAGCGUCAGGAGAGAAGGAGGAAGGAAGACAAGGGAUCAAGCAAGAGUAAUUCAGAUUGUGAGGAUAUUGAGAGAAGAGUGAGCAGAGAGGGUGAAUGGAAGCGGUACUUCGAUAGAAGGAAUGAGCCAGACAGGCGGGAUACAGGUAGAGUUGGAGCAGAUGGAUAUAAGCCUCAUAACUUUGAAGCUAAUGUUCAGGGUAGUAAGGUAGUACAGAGCAAGACAAAAUAUUUUGGCCGUAUGACUGGAGGUUUGUUAUCUUCUUCCAGAGGUUUCAGCGGUGGUUCCAUUUUUGGUAGGAGUACUCAGGCCCCUGCUCCUCAAGCUAACAAGGUGACUAAACCACUUGUUACUGCAACUGACCAGAGUAAUACUGUUAAAAGAGAUGCCCAGUCUGCAGCUGCACAAGCAAUGGCCAAAUCUGCUACCACUGGAGAAACUAGAAAUAUGUGGAAUAAUUCUCAUCAACCUGUUAGUCCAAAUAUGCAGGCACAUCCUACAGGUCCUAAAAAGUCAUGGCAUCAGCUGUUUAGCCGCUCAACAUCAGUUUCUCCUUGUCCUGAUGUUACUGCUGCAGCUCGUGAAAAGAAGGGGCAACCAGAACUAAAUGGAGCACAGAUAAGCAGUGCCCAAAAUUUUCUGGCUCACUAUCCUCCUCUGGACAGCAAUCCAAGGUUAAGCCAGUCAAUGCAUUUUACAGGGUUUUCACUAGUAAAUGGAGCACCUCCCAACACACCUCCAUCUCAUUUUCCAGCUGGGCACACACCCUUCUGUGCUGAGGCAGAAACAGCAGUAUUGGAAGAACUGGAGAGGUUUGAGGACCCGUGCUAUGAUCCAGAUGCAAUUGCAUUGCUUGGGCCAGUUUCAGAAUCCCUAGACAACUUUCCUCCAGACUGGGAUAACAGGUUUACCUUGAGUGGUGUCGCCAAGGAACCACAUGUUAAGCCAUCACCAAUUGAGUCUCCCCUGUCAAGAUCACGGACUGUUGAAGAAAAGCCUAUAAAACAAUCACAUUUUUCUAUUUCCAAAGGGCCUGAUGGUUCCAUGACACCUGAGGCUACCGAUGAGCAAGGCACAUGGCAAAUGUGGAGCACACCAUUGGUGCAGGACACUUUAGGCCUGCGAGGUCCUCAGAUGCAGUGGCUUUUACCAAAUAAGGAUCAGUUUAACCAUGGUGUCAGUAACUUGAAUGGCGGAACAAGGAGCCCCCUCGGUGCUGGUUUGCAUGACAGUGAUUUAUGGCUGCAGAAAUCACCCUUCCAGCAAUUGCCUCUUGAUACAGAGAGUCUGUUCCUUUCACACAAUUUUCCAGAAACUCCUGCUCACAGUGAGUUGGGUUUCGGAUCUCCAAACAAAGUGGCCCGUGCACACCCCUUUGGGCCACCUGGUCCUGGUCAUCCUUGGCCCAAGGAGGAUCUGGUGCUGAAUGGACCUCAGGGAGCAAGUCAAAUCCACUCACCGACUGGAGCGCAUGCUGGCUUAUUUCCAACUAAUCCUGAUACGCAGUCAGUUUGGUCGUUCGAUCAAAAAAGAGACAGCAUGGAACCUACAAAAUGA